UUUCCGUAGGUGAACCUGCGGAAGGAUCAUCAGUGAAUUAAGCGCGUCUCUUCUUAGAGCGUGACCUCCACUUUUAACACUAAGCACUAUUUGGCGAGGUAGAGAAACUAGUCGUGUCGUCUCUCCUUACGGCUUCAUUUAUACACUGGUUAAAGUAUUGAACAAACUAUCGAAACUACAAAACUUUCAACCACGGAUCUUUUCGCUCUCGCAUCGGUGGAGAGCGCAGCAGAGCAGAAGAACACACGUCUAAACUCGAGACACGCAUACACAUC
Molecule: unclassified non-coding RNA, 275 nt
Filed under: plant metagenome
Description: partial contains small subunit ribosomal RNA, internal transcribed spacer 1, and 5.8S ribosomal RNA
Source: RNAcentral